GCCGCUUUAGCUCAGUUGGUAGAGCAUCGCAUUCGUAAUGCGGGGGUCACGUGUUCGAGUCACGUAAGCGGCA
RNAcentral lists this transfer RNA (73 nucleotides) under Sphingobium sp. AEW001. RNAcentral's name for it is "tRNA-Thr". It matches the Rfam family "tRNA". Rfam says of the family: Transfer RNA (tRNA) molecules are approximately 80 nucleotides in length. Lineage: Bacteria; Pseudomonadati; Pseudomonadota; Alphaproteobacteria; Sphingomonadales; Sphingobiaceae. The record is from RNAcentral. RNAcentral also lists the same sequence under 2 other names.